RNAcentral lists this transfer RNA (81 nucleotides) under Blumeria graminis f. sp. tritici 96224. RNAcentral describes it as "tRNA-Ser (GCT) (tRNA-Ser-GCT-3-1)". It matches the Rfam family "tRNA". From Rfam's summary of the family: Transfer RNA (tRNA) molecules are approximately 80 nucleotides in length. Their secondary structure includes four short double-helical elements and three loops (D, anti-codon, and T loops). Further hydrogen bonds mediate the characteristic L-shaped molecular structure. tRNAs have two regions of fundamental functional importance: the anti-codon, which is responsible for specific mRNA codon recognition, and the 3' end, to which the tRNAs corresponding amino acid is attached (by aminoacyl-tRNA synthetases). tRNAs cope with the degeneracy of the genetic code in two manners: having more than one tRNA (with a specific anti-codon) for a particular amino acid; and 'wobble' base-pairing, i.e. permitting non-standard base-pairing at the 3rd anti-codon position. RNAcentral also lists the same sequence under 2 other names. The record is from RNAcentral. Lineage: Eukaryota; Fungi; Ascomycota; Leotiomycetes; Helotiales; Erysiphaceae.
GGCACUUUGGCGGAGUGGUUAACGCGAUGCCCUGCUAAGGCAUUUCCCUAGGGAGCGUGUGUUCGAAUCACACAGGUGUCG